Molecule: ribosomal RNA, 477 nt
Filed under: Botryotinia sp. FL-2010c
Lineage: Eukaryota; Fungi; Ascomycota; Leotiomycetes; Helotiales; Sclerotiniaceae
Description: eukaryotic LSU rRNA
Rfam family: 5.8S ribosomal RNA (bases 115-268)
Source: RNAcentral
CCUUGUGUAUUAUUACUUUGUUGCUUUGGCGAGCUGCCUUCGGGCCUUGUAUGCUCGCCAGAGAAAACCAAAACUCUUUUUAUUAAUGUCGUCUGAGUACUAUAUAAUAGUUAAAACUUUCAACAACGGAUCUCUUGGUUCUGGCAUCGAUGAAGAACGCAGCGAAAUGCGAUAAGUAAUGUGAAUUGCAGAAUUCAGUGAAUCAUCGAAUCUUUGAACGCACAUUGCGCCCCUUGGUAUUCCGGGGGGCAUGCCUGUUCGAGCGUCAUUUCAACCCUCAAGCUUAGCUUGGUAUUGAGUCUAUGUCAGUAAUGGCAGGCUCUAAAAUCAGUGGCGGCGCCGCUGGGUCCUGAACGUAGUAAUAUCUCUCGUUACAGGUUCUCGGUGUGCUUCUGCCAAAACCCAAAUUUUUCUAUGGUUGACCUCGGAUCAGGUAGGGAUACCCGCUGAACUUAAGCAUAUCAAUAAGCGGAGGAA